Molecule: ribosomal RNA, 279 nt
Filed under: uncultured bacterium
Lineage: Bacteria
Description: partial 16S ribosomal RNA
Rfam family: Bacterial small subunit ribosomal RNA
Source: RNAcentral
UGCCAGCCGCCGCGGUAAUACGGAGGGUGCGAGCGUUAAUCGGAAUUACUGGGCGUAAAGCGCACGCAGGCGGUUUGUUAAGCUAGAUGUGAAAGCCCCGGGCUCAACCUGGGAUGGUCAUUUAGAACUGGCAGACUAGAGUUUUGGAGAGGGGAGUGGAAUUCCAGGUGUAGCGGUGAAGUGCGUAGAUAUCUGGAGGAACAUCAGACGCGAAGGCAUUCUGCUGGUCAUUACCUGACGCUGAGGGACGAAAGCGUGGGGAGCGAACGGGAUUAGAUA